This 103-nucleotide microRNA precursor is filed under the name Marmota monax (woodchuck). Lineage: Eukaryota; Metazoa; Chordata; Mammalia; Rodentia; Sciuridae. The record is from RNAcentral.
AGUGAGAUAACUGGGUCAAAUGGAAGUUCCAUUCCAAGUUUUCUGAGGAAUCUGUAUAUUGCUUUCCAGAGUGGUUGCACCAAUUUUCAGUCCCACCAGCAAU